Long non-coding RNA from Solanum stenotomum, 314 nucleotides. RefSeq lists it as uncharacterized. The record is from RefSeq and is a predicted model, not a curated record. The transcript is spliced from 2 exons. NCBI's taxonomy places the organism in Eukaryota, Viridiplantae, Streptophyta, Magnoliopsida, Solanales, Solanaceae.
ACAGGGAACAAACAUUUUGGAAAUCCGUUAAAAUUACUGUAUGGGCAUUGUGUAGGCAGAUUUUCUGCCGUUAUUAAGGGAGGGAGAUUGACAAUUGUCAUUGCGGACGAGGACACAGAUGACCCUACAUACAUAAAAAAUAUUGUUUACAGGGAAAUCUUCCAGAACGUCAGCCCAAGAAUGGUGCAAACUGAAGAGAUAAACAUCCAAACUAAUGAGGAUUUCGUUAUGGAGAUGGAAUGCAAAUGCACCAGUUGCUUGCAGGCCUAACUGAUACAAGCGAGACCAGUGCAGCUGCCUAUGGACUUUUAUAG